This 71-nucleotide transfer RNA is filed under the name Microbacterium phage Armstrong. It matches the Rfam family "tRNA". From Rfam's summary of the family: Transfer RNA (tRNA) molecules are approximately 80 nucleotides in length. Their secondary structure includes four short double-helical elements and three loops (D, anti-codon, and T loops). Lineage: Duplodnaviria; Heunggongvirae; Uroviricota; Caudoviricetes. RNAcentral also lists the same sequence under 2 other names. The record is from Rfam by way of RNAcentral.
UGCUCUGUAGUCUAAUGGCAGGACGCCCGACUCUGGAUCGGGUAGCGUUGGUUCGACCCCAGCUGGAGCAG